UUGAGAGCCCUGGAAAUGGAUGUCCUCUCUAUCCACAGAGCAGGUAAAGUAGAAGCAGCAGCAGUGCCAGCUUCCCAACACUGCCUUCCUAUCAUGCCUCAAACCUGAUUUGAAGGGACCAUCUGUAAAGGAUAGAGGGGUGUUCCGUCUCUACAGCUCAGAGAGGCCAAA
Molecule: small RNA, 171 nt
Filed under: Chrysemys picta bellii (western painted turtle)
Lineage: Eukaryota; Metazoa; Chordata; Testudines; Emydidae
Description: TUC338 (ENSCPBG00000025290.1)
Source: RNAcentral